Molecule: ribosomal RNA, 350 nt
Filed under: uncultured bacterium
Lineage: Bacteria
Description: bacterial SSU rRNA
Rfam family: Bacterial small subunit ribosomal RNA
Source: RNAcentral
AGAAGCACCGGCUAAUUCCGUGCCAGCAGCCGCGGUAAUACGGAAGGUGCGAGCGUUAAUCGGAAUAACUGGGCGUAAAGCGCGCGUAGGUGGUUAAGUCAGUCAGAUGUGAAAGCCCCGGGCUUAACCUGGGAACUGCACCUGAUACUGCUUGACUAGAGUACGGUAGAGGGCAGUGGAAUUUCCUGUGUAGCGGUGAAAUGCGUAGAUAUAGGAAGGAACACCAGUGGCGAAGGCGACUGCCUGGAUUGAUACUGACACUGAGGUGCGAAAGCGUGGGUAGCAAACAGGAUUAGAUACCCUGGUAGUCCACGCCGUAAACGAUGUCGACUAGCCGUUGGGAGACUUGC